GAGGGAGGGAGGGGGGUGACAGUGUAUGAAAAAAGAUGAGGGACAGAAAAUUUUGGUGGAGGAAAAGUUUGGAACUAAAAAUGUUUAGAUGUAUUAAUUACAUAUAUUAAUUGGAAGUUUCAUGAAAAGAAAGGAAAUGGUCAAAUACGGUGAAGAACAACUUGUUAUUGAAAGUUUGGUAUUGAUAACGUUUAGAUGUAUUAAUUGAAAGUUUUAUGAAGGGAAUGGAAAUGGUCAAAUGAUGGUGAGGGUGAAGGACAAUUUGCCACAUGGCAGAAACUAUCGUGGAUUUAUAUAAGUUAAUAGAUGAUAACAUUUAGACGUAUUAAUUAAAUGUAUUAAUUGAAAGUUUGAUGAAGGGAAUGGAAAGGGUCAAAUGAUGGUGAGGGUGAAGGACAACUUGCCACAUGGCAGAAAAUAUCGUGAAUUCAUAUAAGUUAAUAUAAGUUAAUAGAUGAUAACAUUUAGACGUAUUAAUUAAAUGUAUUAAUUGAAAGUUUGAUGAAGAGAAUGGAAAGGGUCAAAUGAUGGUGAGGGUGAAGGACAACUUGCCACAUGGCAGAAAAUAUCGUGAAUUCAUAUAAGUUAAUAGAUAAUAGAUAGAUGAUAACUGAUAUAAGUAAUAUAAUAAGAACAAUAAUUAAACAGCAAAUUU
RNAcentral lists this long non-coding RNA (655 nucleotides) under Ananas comosus (pineapple). RNAcentral describes it as "long non-coding RNA (ACOM_LNC006822)". The record is from RNAcentral. Lineage: Eukaryota; Viridiplantae; Streptophyta; Magnoliopsida; Poales; Bromeliaceae.